Molecule: long non-coding RNA, 2511 nt
Organism: Anneissia japonica
Lineage: Eukaryota; Metazoa; Echinodermata; Crinoidea; Comatulida; Comatulidae
Exons: 5
Source: RefSeq, a predicted model, not a curated record
CUUGACGUAAAAGCUAGUUUUUUGUUAACUAGAAGCUUCGCAUACCGUGUGUGCACACGUGUACGCUAUGUGGCGUUUGACAGGCAUGUUGAUAAUACGCGUUUAAACACGAUUAGAUAGAUGAGCCUAUUCCUCGAUAGAGAUUUACGGAAUCCUAUACCUAGUUGCUGUAGUAGUACAGUAGGACCGUACUAGGCUAGGGUAUGCCUAGAUUAGCCCUGCUUUCAAGCUAGCUAGGCUAGCCUAGCACAUAUAAUUAAGGACGGGCCUAUCCUAUUACUACUAGGCCUAGGCUAUAUUAUUUAUAUUAUUUAUGGGCUGUGGAGGGUCCAGAGACCUAGGGAUCGUUAAUAAUAAUUAGGUAAUAUUAGUCAAUAAUACCUAGGCCUAGACUAUCUGGUACUAAGUAGGUUGUGUUAAUGAGUUGAUGUUAAUUGGUCUAGGCAGCCUAGGGCUAGUUAAUAUUUCAAUCCAUUAAUUAUAUUGACAAGUCGACAAAAAAAUGCACAAAUAAAUGUUUAAAUUGAUGUAAACUGUUUUGAGUUUAAUAAAACAAAUUAAGUACCCGCUGCUUACUUGGACUCGAAUUCAACCUUGGCCAUCAGGCGCAAGCUCGGUGGUCAAGAGGUAUGAUCGUGGGUUCCAGUCCCACCCGAGAACAACUUGCGAUUUUUUCUCAGUUGUUUUCAAAUGUACUGAGUAUUCGGUACAUUUCCACGUGAGGUAGGACAAUAUUACACCAAUACAAAACAAAUUAAGUUACUAUUUGUAUAUUUUUUUCAUACCGUAAUUACAACUCAUUUUAAUUCAUUUUAAUUGUUUCAGAUACAUGAAAAUAUAUGGCAUGUAGUAAACCAUCAUAUCACGGACGGCAAUCCACAUGGAAUCGGCUAGUAAGGGCAGAUAGAAAAAUGGUUAGAUUAUCACUCCCCCCGCAAAAACAACGCAGUUGAAAAGAUUGCUGAUUGUGAUCAAAAUGUCCAGCAUGCAUCAUUUUUCCUUGGAUAUCUGGUUCAGUCAGUGUCAAAUGGCUCUUCAUAAUUGAGAAUGUUUUUGCAAAGGCUGAUUUUACUUGUUGGGGGAAGCAUGGAUGAGUUCACCUCCUUGCUCAUUUAAGAGACCAAUCCCAACUUUCCACAUUCUCAGAAAGGGUACAACUUGGUUUUCCAACAUAUGGAGUUUUGGCGAUAUGUUGUGCUCAUUCUUGCGCUAUGUUCCUCACUGCAUUGCACACUGCCAUGGAUUUAGUAACGUUUUUGUUAAUAAAUACCAGCGGUAUUUCAUCUUCGAGGUUUGAUAUUUCAUAAAGCUUCUUAAAUACACCCAGUGAGAUGUGUAGGCUUGGAACUGACACCUAUGAAAAGGAAGAUAAAGAUAGAAUUGAAAAGGCUAAAGAAAUUCAAGGCAUCGAGAAACAGAAGUGCUGCAAGAUAGAGGAAAAGUGUAAGGACAUCCAGGAGAAUGUGUGAUAUGUACUCAUCAGCUAUUUCGAAUUGCCUACUCCGCAUCCUUCGCUCUGAAGCUAUUGUUCCUGGUUGUAGAUACCUUUAAUAACAUGAAUUAAAUUUGUAACUUUUGGUUUUGAAACCAAAUUCUAGUAAUAUGUUAUUAUUAACUAAUAGCAUUUUUACCUUCUUAAUUUGCGGAGUUGCUGCCAAACAAGCUCACAGUCAGCCUUGAUAGCCAGUGAACUGUCAAUAUCAACUAGGGAUGGAGUUGCAAAUGCAGAGAUUUCGUGUGCUAAUUGAUUGUUGCUAUCCCUAUGUGAUAUCACCUCGCGUAAAGAUGACAUUUCCUGUGUAGGUCGUUAAAGACUCCUUUUGCACACAUUGCUGCUGUAUUUUGCUGCUUUUGUGAUUACAGCAAUCUUCACUGGCUAAAAUAUUGUAAUCACACAAUUUAAAUACAGUGAUAAAGUGCUACUACAGUACAAAUGCAAUUAAUAAAACAUUUUCUAAUACUGUUAUUAUGUUAAAGAAUGUUAAAUUAAAUUUGUUUAGUAUAAAAUAAUUAAACCCUUACCCUUCCUCUAGUUUGGAUUUCAACCUCCUUGCACUCCUUAAGAGAUCGAUACACCACUUUAUUAGACAACUGUUGAACUUCAACAAUUGUGGUGACUGCACUGGAUAUUCUUCUGUAUUGUUGUUCAGCUGGUGUAGAGCACUUAUGUUGAUAGUAGUCAUCAUAUUUUAGGAUUUCACCGCAUGAUUUGCAUAACAGUUGCCCAGAUUUCAAUGAGUUCUGAACAAUCAUGAAUGGUGUUUCACAUCAGAUACAUUCACAGGACACAUGCAGACAAAACAAGUGCAUUGACGGACUCGAAGUGUGCCAAACAGUUUUGAUAGACAGUACAAACAAAAAUGAUGCGAACACUUAGUUUCUAAAUUUUCAACUGACAUAAUACGCAGACAAAUGGCACAUUCAAAUUGUGAUAACAAUGAUUGAUCUUUGACUGUAAAUUUUUGAUUCAAUGCAUUGUGCUCUAAAUGCUUAGAACAAAUGCUGGGUUUG